UCCCUCCUUUCUCUCUCUUUUCUCUCUCCUCUUCUAGCUUUCUCUCUCCAAUCUCUCUCUAGAUUCUCUCUCUAUUUUCUCUCUCUUUAUGAAUUUUAUCUCUCUAGGAUCUUUCUACUCUCUCUCUAAUUGCAUCAUGGAUCUUAGGAUAAACUUGAGAUGAAAAUAUGAUCAUCUGAGAUUGCUUCAAAAUUCGUGUAGUAGAUUGGAUUUCGAUCCGAUCUUUAUUUGAGAUUUAUAAUAUCGAUCAUGGUUAAUUCAUAUUGAGUCAUCCUGAUAUAACCUCUGAUGAUCUCAAUC
This 300-nucleotide long non-coding RNA is filed under the name Elaeis guineensis (African oil palm). RNAcentral's name for it is "long non-coding RNA (EGUI_LNC013312)". Lineage: Eukaryota; Viridiplantae; Streptophyta; Magnoliopsida; Arecales; Arecaceae. The record is from RNAcentral.